UUUUUUAUUCAACUUUCCGCAAAACUAAUUUACACCCUAUGAUCGUUUACACGGAAUUUAGAUACUUUCCGAAAAGUUUUGAUUUUCAUUAUCACAUGUGCUUACAUUGCAAAUGAAAGCUUUUAAAAUAGUGUAUAUCAUUUUGAUUUAUAUGUAACACUUUUUGAUAAAUUUUAUUUCAAAGUCGUGUAUCGUUUCUUUUG
Molecule: long non-coding RNA, 203 nt
Filed under: Mytilus galloprovincialis (Mediterranean mussel)
Lineage: Eukaryota; Metazoa; Mollusca; Bivalvia; Mytilida; Mytilidae
Source: RNAcentral